RNAcentral lists this ribosomal RNA (253 nucleotides) under uncultured bacterium. RNAcentral's name for it is "partial 16S ribosomal RNA". It matches the Rfam family "Bacterial small subunit ribosomal RNA", at positions 524 to 776 of the family's 1533-position model. The record is from RNAcentral.
UACCGAGGGGGCAAGCGUUGUUCGGAAUUACUGGGCGUAAAGGGCGCGUAGGCGGCCUGUUAAGUCGAACGUGAAAUCCCCGGGCUCAACCCGGGAACUGCGUCCGAAACUGGCAGGCUUGAAUCCGGGAGAGGGAUGCGGAAUUCCAGGUGUAGCGGUGAAAUGCGUAGAUAUCUGGAGGAACAUCGGUGGCGAAGGCGGCAUCCUGGACCGGUAUUGACGCUGAGGCGCGAAAGCCAGGGGAGCAAACGGG